CGGGGGGGAGCAAGCGUUGUUCGGAUUUACUGGGCGUAAAGGGCGCGUAGGCGGCCAGCGCAAGUCAGUUGUGAAAUCUCCGGGCUUAACUCGGAAAGGUCAACUGAUACUGCGCGGCUAGAGUGCGGAAGGGGCAACUGGAAUUCUUGGUGUAGCGGUGAAAUGCGUAGAUAUCAAGAGGAACACCUGCGGCGAAGGCGGGUUGCUGGGCCGACACUGACGCUGAUGCGCGAAAGCCAGGGGAGCGAACGGGAUUAGAUACCCCGGUAGUCCUGGCCUUAAACGAUGAAUGCUUGGUGUCUGGGGUUAUAAAGUCCCCGGGUGCCGUCGCUACGCUUUAAGCAUUCCGCCUGGGGAGUACGGUCGACAAGACUG
Molecule: ribosomal RNA, 375 nt
Filed under: uncultured organism
Description: bacterial SSU rRNA
Rfam family: Bacterial small subunit ribosomal RNA
Source: RNAcentral